GUGGUAAACUCCAUCUAAAGCUAAAUAUCGGGGAGAGACCGAUAGCGAACAAGUACCGUGAGGGAAAGAUGAAAAGCACUUUGGAAAGAGAGUUAAAAGUACGUGAAAUUGUCGAAAGGGAAGCACUUGAAGUCAGCCAUGCUGCUUGAGACUCAGCCUGGCUUUUGCUUGGUGUAUUUCUCGGUAGCAAGCCAGCAUUGGUUUGUGUCGUCGGAGAAGCGUAUGGGGAAUGUGGCAUCCUCGGAUGUGUUAUAGCCCUGUGCAGGAUACGACGACGUAGACCAAGGAACGCAGUGUGCCCUCUGGGCGGGUCUUCGGACACCUUCACACUUAGGAUGCUGGCGUAAUGGCUUUAAGUGGCCCGUCUUGAAACACGGACCAAGGAGUCUAACAUGUGUGCGAGUUUUUGGGUGGCAAACCCAUGAGCGUAAUGAAAGUGAAUGCAGGUGGGAUCCGCAAGGAGCACCAUCGACCGGCCCUGAUGUUCUCGGAUGGGUCUGCGUAAGAGCAUAUAUGUUGGGACCCGAAAGAUGGUGAACUAUGC
RNAcentral lists this ribosomal RNA (544 nucleotides) under Demodex folliculorum. Its description in RNAcentral is "eukaryotic LSU rRNA". It matches the Rfam family "Eukaryotic large subunit ribosomal RNA", at positions 296 to 836 of the family's 3401-position model. The record is from RNAcentral. Lineage: Eukaryota; Metazoa; Arthropoda; Arachnida; Trombidiformes; Demodicidae.